RNAcentral lists this ribosomal RNA (497 nucleotides) under uncultured bacterium. RNAcentral describes it as "partial 16S ribosomal RNA". It matches the Rfam family "Bacterial small subunit ribosomal RNA", at positions 28 to 507 of the family's 1533-position model. The record is from RNAcentral.
GAUGAACGCUGGCGGCGUGCCUAAUACAUGCAAGUCGAGCGAACAGACGAGGAGCUUGCUCCUCUGACGUUAGCGGCGGACGGGUGAGUAACACGUGGAUAACCUACCUAUAAGACUGGGAUAACUUCGGGAAACCGGAGCUAAUACCGGAUAACAUGUUGAACCGCAUGGUUCAACAGUGAAAGACGGUCUUGCUGUCACUUAUAGAUGGAUCCGCGCCGCAUUAGCUAGUUGGUAAGGUAACGGCUUACCAAGGCAACGAUGCGUAGCCGACCUGAGAGGGUGAUCGGCCACACUGGAACUGAGACACGGUCCAGACUCCUACGGGAGGCAGCAGUAGGGAAUCUUCCACAAUGGGCGAAAGCCUGACGGAGCAACGCCGCGUGAGUGAAGAAGGUCUUCGGAUCGUAAAACUCUGUUAUUAGGGAAGAACAAAUGUGUAAGUAACUAUGCACGUCUUGACGGUACCUAAUCAGAAAGCCACGGCUAACUACGUG